ACUAGCAAGAACGUCCAAAGCGUCACGUGAUCGGCCCGCACGUGAUUCUUCACGUGAUCGACUGCUCGAAGAGUUACACAAGCCAGGUAUAAAAACAACUGCGCUGAUUGUUUUUAGACCAAAUCACCGGACUCUGGUGGGGCAGCGGGAUGCAGCAACUGAGUCUAGCGGGCCUAGGGCUCGCUCUGACCCUCCUGGCUUUGCCGGGAGGGUCGAAUGCCUUCCUGGAUUCGAUGUGUAACUCCACACAUUCAAUCUACGACACGUCCGUCAGUUUGCUGAAUGGCACCAGUUACAAACUGGACCAAUACAGCGGUAAAGUGUUGGUCAUCGUCAAUGUGGCUAGUUUCUGAGGUCUAGCCGCCCCUCAGUACCCUUCACUGAAUGCACUCCGCAAGGCGUACGAGGGAAAAAUCGAGAUUCUGGGCUUCCCCUGCAACCAAUUCCUGCUGCAGGAGCCGGAAGCAAACGGCGAGAUUCUCAACUUGUUAAAGUAUGUCCGACCUGGGAAGGGAUUCAUGCCGACUUUCCCCAUGCACGAAAAGGUGGAAGUCAAUGGAAAGACUGCCCAUCAGCUGUACAAGACGCUGAAGGGUUUCUGUCCAGCAGUCAAGGAGGAGAUUGGUGACCCAACCAAUUUCUACUGGACUCCUAUCAGCAACAACGAUAUCACUUGGAACUUUCAGAAGUUCCUGAUUGACACCAAAGGGUUCCCCUUCAAGCGUUAUGACCCACUGGUGGAUCCUUCGAUGUUGAAGACUGACAUUGACGCGCUGCUCAGCAAAUCCAAAUAAUUUACUUGAAUUUCUUCAUUUUCAUAAGGAAACCACCACCAGCCCCCACCCCCACUUUCUCAGGGUCCCAAUUUUACAGCUUUGUGAAAUAAUUUUUCUUAGCAGACAAUAAAUCAUGUGCUUUGCAAAAUUCAGAUAAUAACCAAGUGAAUAUCAAAUGACAUUUUACCUGGUUCUUUUCGUAUAAUUUAACAAUGAAAUCUCACCCUGAAAUACACUAUACUAUCAGACAUCUGAAAUCUUCAACAUUUGAAGUGAUCUGUUCAAUACAUUUUGGUGAGGUUGGAAUUCAAACACUUACCUUGCCUUGGAUCCUGGUUCGAUUCCCACCUAGUUUUCCUUACAACUAACGGCAAUCAAAGCUUUAUUUUCCUCUUGAAAUCUUCAUUUUCCUCUUUCCUUUUUGCGAUCCUGAAGCUGAUAAAGAAUUUUUUUUAUAAAAUAAUACUUUUCUUUACAAUAAUUAAUCCCCCGUUUGAGUCCCCAAUUUUCGCACAAAUAAAAUAUCUCAAAAACUGUAUGUUAAAAUUUGUAUUUUCAAGAUGAAAUUUCCAAUUCAAGUAAACCACUUACGUUUACAGUAGUUAGCAGUAAAGAUUGUAAGACAUGCAUUUACAAAUGUAUUCAUAGUACUUAAUUGAUGGCUUUGUAAAGAACUCGAGCUUUCUGUGCGAUAAACUUGUGAUACACAAUUUAUGACGAGCAAAUCUUAAACGCUUUGUGCGAGGGGUUUGUUCCGAUGUCACCCUACAUGUCUGCCCUUGUGCAUUCGGGCACGCAUGGAAAGAGUGAGUGUGUAGACACAAUGCAGAAAUGUUUGUAAAAUCCUACAGAGUCUUGAUUUCUUUCUUGGUCAUGGAAAACCAAUUUUUGUAAAAGCAAGCAAACAGGAUGAACAUGUAAUUUGUUUGAAUUAAAUAUUCUUUACAACCAGUCAA
This is an RNA transcript of Patiria miniata (bat star), 1732 nucleotides long. It is a transcript of the gene named glutathione peroxidase-like, with no coding region annotated. The transcript is spliced from 2 exons. The record is from RefSeq and is a predicted model, not a curated record. NCBI's taxonomy places the organism in Eukaryota, Metazoa, Echinodermata, Asteroidea, Valvatida, Asterinidae.